Molecule: long non-coding RNA, 4854 nt
Organism: Hyla sarda
Lineage: Eukaryota; Metazoa; Chordata; Amphibia; Anura; Hylidae
Exons: 4
Source: RefSeq, a predicted model, not a curated record
UCCUGAUUGGUCAGUGCUUUCUUUGUUACGGCCGUUGAGGUCACAAACCAACCACCAUGAUCAUUGUAACCAACCUGGCAACGUCUGGUGAUGUCUGAGAAGCAGUUUUCGGAGCAUUUUUGCCUUUUACAGAGGCCUGUUGGUCGGCACAGAUCUCCUGAGCUUCCAAGAUUAUCUACUGAAAUUUAAAGGGGUACUCCGCCCCUGGCAUCUUAUCCCCUAUCCAAAGGGCAGCGGUGACGAGCGAUGAUGGGUCCGGAGCGGCGGGGACAGAUAGUUGAGAUCAGAGAAGAUAUGAAGAACAAGAGAGAAGUGUAUAAAGAUAAUUUGGAUCGCUCUUUAAGCCUUUGUAUGAUGUAAUGGGACAGCACAAUGCAAUAAGUUUGCCUCCUUCCAUAUAAAGACACAACUCUCCAUGACCUACGUACACUUUUAGCAAGGAGUUUUCAUAGAACCGGAUCCAUCUCUGAUGAAAACCAUUGCCUCUGAGUUGGAGGCAGGGAAAUUUCAUUUGCAAUAUAUUCCUGUCUUGUUCUACAUAUAUUAUAAAUAUAUUCCUGUCUUGUUCUACAUAUAUUAUAAAUAUAUUCCUGUCUUGUUCUACAUAUAUUAUAAAUAUAUUCCUGUCUUGUUCUGUGUGUCUUGCUCAGCUGUCACACACCUUUGGUGGAUCUCCCACUACAUUUUGUGAUUUCAUUUUCCAUAGCAAUUCAACAUUUCUUGAGACCUAAACAACUUUGAAAUCAAUAUUCUUUGUUUUAUGUUUCCCCUUUUUUCUAAUAAACCUUUGCUUGCCGUUUUAAUAUAUUUCCAUCUGCUGUAUGACAAUGUUGUGCGGAUGGUAAGAUAAUGAAAACGAUAAAUUAGAGAGGCGGCUAUUGGAGCAAAGGAAAAGCAAAUGAAGCAAUAUAAUAUUAGAAAUGGGAUUAUUACUAUGUUUUAGGCUGAUGAGUUUUACUUAUUUAUUUAAUAAGAUCCUAAUAAACUCUCUGCUUCAUGAAGCACUCUAAAACAAUGAUAGGCUUCACCUUAUGUUACACUAUGAAUCUCUAACGGCAUACUAGUCGGGGCAGGUCUGUAUGAUUGAUGACUCUAAGGUCAUAAUAUUGGACACAUGUUAAAUCCGUAUGGCUACUACAAAACUUAGCUGGCUAUAAUAAUCUGAACGGCUCUCAUCAUGGGGUCCUACGACAGCCAAUGUUUGUCCUAACCAGUUUCUAAAAGCGGGCAGCAUUAUGAAGCCACAUGACCUACUGGGCUUUUGGAAGGGGCCAAGAUUAAAGGGGUACUCCACCAAAAAACAUCUUAUCCACUAGCCAUGCCCCCUCCAUUCAUGUCUAUGGGAGGGGGCAUGGGGGCUAGUACAUAACCGCCACGCCUCCUUCCAUAGACAUGAAUGGAGGGGGCGAGACGGCUGUAGUCGCCAAUCAUCCGGCACGGAGCGGAGUUCGCUCCGUGCACGGAUGACUGGGGUUCUGCGCCAAAGAUCGUGGGGGUCCCCAGUGGCGGGAACCCCACAAUCAGACAUCCUUUGGAUAGGGGAUAAGAUGUUUUUUUGUCAGAGUACCCCUUUAAAUCAGUUGACUCAGCAUGGUGGAAAUGACUCCAUAAAUUAUUUAUUCCAAAGAAAUGUCCUCAAGUUAAAAGAUAAUACAAGGGUCAUUCACAGGUUAGGGAAUAAGUAUGUAUCUAAUUGGCAGGCCAUCACUCCAGAGACCAGUUUGUCUUGGAAGAUGGGGGCCGGAGCACUUCACAGUAGGAAAUGGACCCUUUUCUGAAGAUCGUGGGGGGUCCCAUGAUUAGACACUUAUCCCCUAUUCUCUGAAUAGGGGAUAAUUUUUAUUUGCGGGACAACCUCCUUAAAUCUUGGGCUAACCCCAUUAACAACUAGUGUAUGUAUAUAUAUGUAGGACAAGGUUCUGAAAAAAAUUGUGUAAAAAGUGUGUAAAAAUAGGUGACUUUUGUGUUGGUGUAAAAAGUGUGAAAAAAAUGGGUGACUUGUGUUGUGAAAAAAAUGGAUGCAACCAUAAUUUUAUUUAGGCUGUUGGAGUUUGUGCAGGUUAUUGUGAUAGUAAGUAUUAACAUAUUACAGGUCAUAGUGAAUCUCAGUAUACUGAGCUAUAGAUGUAUAUAUCACUUACAGAGGCAUAACUUGUGGCUUCUGGGCCCCAAUGUAAAAUCUGCAACAGGGCCCAAUGUGUUAUUUUUAAUUCUGGUCUCUUAUGUGGCAGAUGUGCCUUGGUGCCUCUUUAGGCACCAGGGUCCCAACGUGACAGCUACCUCAGCACCCCCUACCGUUAUGCUCCUGAUCACAAUGAGGGACAUUUAUCAAUGUUUGCUUAUGUAUUCCUUUUUUUAGUAAUUUUUUCCUUACCUUUUUUUUGCUUAUGUGUGACUUAUUUAUCAACUGGUUUCAGCCUGUUGAUAAUUUUCUUUCACGUAAGCAAUUUUUCCUUUUUUACUUUGGUAGUAGCUUUUUCUGCUCCAUGUUUGAGCUGGAGUAAAUUUAGUCAAUUUUUAACGCUGUUGCGACUUUUUUUUGCGCAGUUGCGACUGUCGCAGUUAAUAAAUACCUGACUACCCGUAGUCCAUUUUAAAAUUAUUACUACAUAGUAAAUUUUAGGAAAACUUGCUUUUCUCGCUUUCCAGUCAAAAUGUCGCACGAAAAAGCGUGUAGUCGCAGUUGCGACAAUUUUGCGACAAUAAUAGUAAAGAAAACCUGACUAAACCUGUUGAUAAAUGUCCAUAUAUAACCUUUGUGAUUUAGUAUGGUUUUUCAAUCAGUCAACAUAACAUUUUAGAUAAUUUUUGAUAAGUUGUCAAGAAAAAAAAGAAAAGGAAAGAAUCCGGUUGAUGGCCCUGAUGUGGGACAGUCAGCUGGGUUUCAUAAAUGUAAUAAAACUAUUGUCUAUGUCUGUGGUCUGAAAACUGUGGCCUUUCAGAUGUUCCAAAAUGACAACUCUCAGCGUGCCCGGACAGCCAACAUCCGGAAGGCCACAGUUUGGAGACCCAUUGGUCUUUGUGAACGUGGUAACACUUGUAGCCGAAGAACACAAUAUCAUAAGGAAAUAGAGAAAGUUAGAGAAAGUAUGGUUAGGCAUGGCAGUGAAACAGAGCAUAAUAAUUUAUGAUAGAUAUAAAGGCAUAGAGUGUAGUUCCCUUAUUGGGCACCUGUGUAAUUUACAGGAGAAUGGAACACGUUUAUAUUGACCCUUGUAUAGUUAUUCGACAUUGGAGACUGACAGUAAAAUAAUUAUGCAAAGGACGUGCCAUCACUGUUCAUUGAAGACUUGUGAUUAUAAAGGGGUGCUGCAGUGUAGGAAAAUGUAUCCCCUAUUCAAAGGAUAGGGGAUAAGUGUUUGAUCGCGGGGGGUCUAACUGCUGGAAUCCCCCAGCGAUCUCCUGCAUGGUCGGUACGCGCCCUCCAUUCAUCUCAUCUGAGAGAUCCGGAGAUACAUCCUUUGCAUAGGAGAUACAUUUUUCCACACUGCAGAACUCCCUCAAUAGGGCUGGGAAUGCUAAAAAGAAGUAAAUCAGUUUUUUCAUGCGCUCCCGAGAAAUCUAAAGAGACAGAUGAACUUUUAAACCACAAGGCCAGGAACAUCAGAUUCCUCUUAUUUAAAGAUUUAGUCGGGAUGACUGAUAACGUUUAAAGUUACAUACGAAUUACAUUCUAAGCAUGAAACAAACUCGAAUUCUGCUAGGGCCCCAAUUGGAAAAGGGGUCUUCUGUAUAUUUAUGUACAUUUCUUUCUGUGGAGACAUCAAGCAAACCUGUGGAGUGGUUUAUGGUGCCGUACCUAAGGAAAGAGGAAAAGAAGCUGAGCUCUGUGACAUAAAUAUAUACGAUUUGGAGAAGGGUUUCUGAGUUAAAAGCAGAGGAAAUCUCGAAAAGACUCCUUACUGACUCUCCUGUCAGGAACUUCUCUGUUUCUUACUCAGAAGCCUUCCAAAUCAAAUAUAUAUAUAUAUAUAUAUAUAUAUGUAUGGUGGCCCAGUACGGGAGGUGUUGCCCCGUGCUCCUGCUGUCCUGUCAGGCAGCCUCCUUCAGUGUCCCCAAGGCCCCCUGCACUUGUUUCCCCAUUGUAAAUAUGUUUUACCAUGUAAAGUGUUAUAAAAUGUAAUGUUGCUUUAAGAGUUAUACCAUGUGAUAUGUCAUGUGAUUGUUACCCAGGAGGUACCAGUGACCAGGUGAUCCCAAGAGUGAUCUAUGGGCUUCAUGCUAGUCUCCCCCAUAUAAGUCCUGGGUGGAGCUAGCUUCUCUCUUUUUGAGCUCUGCUCUUCUGCUAAGCCAGUGCUUCUCAAAUGGUGGUGGUGGUGGUGGGGGGGCGAGGCUCCGUAAAGGGGGGGCUCGUUUGACCUUGGCAAAUAGUGUCAUAUUGGAUGUCUAGAUCGGAUUAUCCGACUCACUCGCAAGCGGCGUCCCACACAGCGUCGGUUGCCUAGCAACUCUACGGCUGGAUCUUACGGCCCUGGGUUGUCAGUGUGGCUGCCUGGGAGAGGCGCUUUGAACUCCGGCGUGGCGCGCUGCUACGUUAAGACGUGAGGUCACGUCACCAGGGUGACGUGACCUCACGUCUAAGCGCAGCAGCCCACCAUGUCGGAGUUCACUGUGCCACCGAGCAGUAUGUAAAGAGCCCUGCUUGUUGUCAGUGUACAGAGCCCUGCUUGUUGUCAGUGUACAGAGCCCCGCUUGUUGUCAGUGUACAGAGCCCUGCUUGUUGUCAGUGUACAGAGCCCCGCUUGUUGUCAGUGUACAGAGCCCUGCUUGUUGUCAGUGUACAGAGCCCCCCUUGUUGCCAGUGUACAGAGCCCUGCUUGUUGUCAGUGUACAGAGCCCCGCUUGUUGUCAGUG